RNAcentral lists this long non-coding RNA (867 nucleotides) under Homo sapiens (human). RNAcentral's name for it is "HSALNT0086543". The record is from RNAcentral. Lineage: Eukaryota; Metazoa; Chordata; Mammalia; Primates; Hominidae.
UAGACGUAAACUAUUGCCAGCCAUUAUUUGGGAGGUCACAAGCUACACAACUUCCCUGAUUACUCCUGCAGAUAACAUCACAAUUGCAGAACCUAAGAUUGGUCUUUUGAGAUGUCUUUUCAGGUUUUUUUGCAUGUCUUACUACCAAUGGCUCCACCUGGACCUGCCAACCAUGGCUCCAUUUGGACCCGUCUACUGCUCCUGUGGCCCCACCAGAGAUGAAGAAACUGAGGCGCAGAAGAAUUGUCUCUUGUCCAAACUCAUGCAGCUGCUAGGAGGUAUCUGUAGGACCUGAGCCUUCCACCCAUGUGUCUUCCACCAAUAUCCACAUUAAAAGGAUGAAGCAUGAGCUAGCUUUUGCUUCCUACCAAAAGGAUUAAAUAAACCCAAAGUGGACCAUUUGGAGGCAUACAUGUUGUCUCCAGUGUGGAAUGAGAGGGGCAGGAGUGUCUGGCCAGCGCAUGAAGAAUGCUAACCCAUGCUGCAGGUUGAGUCUUAGAGCCAGUACUGUCUGGGAAAGAAGAUUCUGAUUUGUAGCGUUUGCCAAAUGCUGUGAUAUCUAUACUCCCACCAUGACUGAUUUCAAUUGACCAACUUGAAGUCACUGAACGUAGAGUUGGGAGAAGAUGCAAAUAAUUAGCUCUUAAGAGCGGCUGCAAGAUGCCUUCAACAUGCCCCUGCCUGGGGUCCGGAGAGAAGAGAGCAAGUGUAAUCACCUGAUGGGUUCUUUCUGACCACUGCACAGACCAAAUUAACUCACUGGGACCAUGGUACUGCAGUAGAGGAAGAGUUUAAUUGACACAAGGCCAGCCCGUGCUGGAGAACUGGAGUUAUCACAGAGGUUUUCAAGGAUUGUUGGUGAGCCAG